AUACGUAGGUGGCAAGCGUUGUCCGGAUUUAUUGGGCGUAAAGCGAGCGCAGGCGGUUUUUUAAGUCUGAUUGUGAAAGCCUUCGGCUCAACCGAAGAAGUGCAUCGGAAACUGGGAAACUUGAGUGCAGAAGAGGACAGUGGAACUCCAUGUGUAGCGGUGGAAUGCGCAGAUAUAUGGAAGAACACCAGUGGCGAAGGCGGCUGUCUAGUCUGUAACUGACGCUGAGGCUCGAAAGCAUGGGUAGC
This 248-nucleotide ribosomal RNA is filed under the name uncultured bacterium. RNAcentral describes it as "partial 16S ribosomal RNA". It matches the Rfam family "Bacterial small subunit ribosomal RNA", at positions 523 to 769 of the family's 1533-position model. The record is from RNAcentral.